GGUGCAUGGCUGUCGUCAGCUCGUGUGUGAGAUGUUGGGUUAAGUCCCGCAACGAGCCGCAACCCUUUAUUUCUUUAGUUGUUUUCCCUUUGGGAUUACCCUCUAAGAAGACUGCCUCGGAUAACGGGGAGGAAGGUGGGGAUGACGUCAAGUCCGCAUGCUCCUUACGUCUAGGGCUACACACGUCCUACAAUGGGGUCGACAAUGGGAUGCAAUAUCGCAAGAUGGAGCCAAUCCCCAAACGGCCUCUCAGUUCGGAUUGUAGUCUGCAACUCGACUACAUGAAGUUGGAAUCGCUAGUAAUGGCAGAUCAGCAUGCUGCCGUGAAUACGUUCCCGGGUCUU
Molecule: ribosomal RNA, 344 nt
Filed under: uncultured bacterium
Lineage: Bacteria
Description: bacterial SSU rRNA
Rfam family: Bacterial small subunit ribosomal RNA
Source: RNAcentral